RNAcentral lists this ribosomal RNA (253 nucleotides) under uncultured bacterium. Its description in RNAcentral is "partial 16S ribosomal RNA". It matches the Rfam family "Bacterial small subunit ribosomal RNA", at positions 524 to 776 of the family's 1533-position model. The record is from RNAcentral.
UACGUAGGGGGCUAGCGUUGUCCGGAAUCAUUGGGCGUAAAGCGCGCGUAGGCGGCCCUGUAAGUCCGCUGUAAAAGUCAAAGGCUCAACCUUUGAAAGCCGGUGGAUACUGCAGGGCUAGAGUCCGGAAGAGGCGAGUGGAAUUCCAGGUGUAGCAGUGAAAUGCGUAGAGAUCUGGAGGAACACCGAUGGCGAAGGCAGCCUCCUGGGCCAGUACUGACGCUCAUGCACGAAAGCGUGGGGAGCAAACAGG